This 301-nucleotide ribosomal RNA is filed under the name uncultured bacterium. Its description in RNAcentral is "partial 16S ribosomal RNA". It matches the Rfam family "Bacterial small subunit ribosomal RNA", at positions 509 to 807 of the family's 1533-position model. The record is from RNAcentral.
CAGCCGCCGCGGGAAUACGAAGGGGGCUAGCGUUGUUCGGAAUCACUGGGCGUAAAGGGUGCGUAGGCGGAUUCUUAAGUCAGGGGUGAAAUCCCGAGGCUCAACCUCGGAACUGCCUUUGAUACUGGGGAUCUUGAGUCCGGAAGAGGUGAGUGGAACUGCGAGUGUAGAGGUGAAAUUCGUAGAUAUUCGCAAGAACACCGGUGGCGAAGGCGGCUCACUGGUCCGGAACUGACGCUGAGGCACGACAGCGUGGGGAGCAAACAGGAUUAGAUACCCGUGUAGUCCCUGUCUCUUAUAC